UGGACCAGUCCCUACCCAUGAUGCACUGCAACAGUCCCUACCCACGAUGCACUGGACCAGUCCCUACCCAUGAUGCACUGCAACAGUCCCAUACCCUCGUGGUUCUCUUCCUCCGUUCUCACAGGAGCAAAGAAAUCUCUCGAACCACAAUGGCAUCAAUUAAGGGCCAACCAGAACAUCUGAUCUUGUCGUUGCUACGCUAAUAUCCCCUUUAAUGGAGCUUGUGGUUGAUCAGGUGACCAAACCCUCCUUCCUGAUGGGCCCCUGGGGGGGCUGUCAUCACGGAGUGACACCUCCCUGUGAACAACAACACCUAGUGGUUGUUGGCCGAAGCAUCGCCGUGGCAACGGGAGGAGAGUGGGGCUUAUCCGUGGCAACGGUUCAGAGUACUGAACAGCAGGUGGGAGAGCACUUUAAUCCCUUCACGUGCACACUACAUGCAGUGCUGUCGUGCAUGUGUGCUUGUGCGUGUUUGUGGUAUUUUUACAGAAAGCUAUUAAAGGUCAGAGGUGCUGUCAUAAUUCCCUGCAGCUUAGCCGCUCUGCGCGCCGGGCCUCUCAAUCCGCCCUGAAAACCAGGAAAUAGAAAAGAGACACAGGGACACAAAGGAGAACUGCUUCCUGCUCUGAUGGAGGGGCACUGGUGGAGGGGAGAGGAGAGGAGGGAGAGGAGGGAGAGGGGAGGAGAGGGAGAGAGAGAGGAGGGAAGAGGAUGCGCCACAGAGGGGGAGAGAGUGUGAAUUGUGAGAGAGAGGAUGAGAGGAGUAGAGCGAGAGGGGGAGAGAGGUAUGAGUAAGAGGAGGGGGACAGCGAGAGAGAUACAGUAGGAGAGAGUGCUAUUAAGGGGAGAUACUGCAGCAAUACGGAGCUGGGAGGCACCAGAAGGUUUUUGUACCGACUGAAGCUGUGAUGGUUGCAGCAUCAGGACCGGCAGACUCCCCUCGGUGUGGUCAGCUCAGUCUAACUCAGCCAGGUCCGAGGCCCCGGUCCGAGGCUCCGGUCCGAGGCCUCGUUCAGAGGCCGUGUUUCUGUUGAGAGCAGGUUAGUCUGGUGGCUAUUGACUAAACUGAGAUCAGGUUAGUCUGGUGGUUAUUGACUAACCUGAGAGUGGGUUAGUCUGGUGGUUAUUGACUAACCUGAGAGUGGGUUUGUCUGGUGGUUAUUGUGUUCGCGCCCCCAGACGGUUCAGUCCGGACUGUAUCGGAGCUCACAGGAAGUCUCUCUGGAGGAGAGCAUCGGUUAAACUAGCGUCAGAGUAACAGCGAGGAGGUUUAGACGCUGACCUACGAGGACGCAGCGAGAAAGACUCUCACCGAUGGAGAGAGAGUGAGGAAGAGGAUGAGACGGAUGGACGGCUGGAGAGAGUGAGGAAGAGGAUGGAGACGGAUGGACCGUUUGAGAGAGAGUGAGGAAGAGGAUGGAGUCGAAUGGACCGUUUGAGAGAGAGUGAGGAGGAGGAUGGAGACGGAUGGAGUUCUGCCCAGCAGGAGGUUGUAGGAUGAAGGGGGAAACAAACAUGUCUGAAACGUGUCACACAACGCGCAACGCACACAGCGCUGUAAACGAAACAUAAAUCAAACACAGCACACAACACACACAUAGCUGUAAACAAAACAUAACUCUAACACACAACGCACACAGAGCUGUAAGGCAAACAAGCAACGCAAACAGAGCCAUAGGCUGAACACACAGAAUACACACAACACACAAAGCCAUGAGAAUAACAUAAAAGGAAGCGCACCAUUUACAAAAAGCAUCGGCAUGGCAACCCAAACGCGGGGUCUCUUCUCUCUGAUGCCUGCUGUGAGUGCAGAGCGUGAAGGCGCAGUACCUGAUUCGGCCAUCGAAGGCGCUCUGUUCCCGUUCUUAGUCAGAGAAGGAUCGACCAAUCCCGUCGAGCGGCCUGUGGCCGCAUGGGUGGAAUCAGUCCGUCCGUCUCCUGGGUUGGGGGGCGUCUUGGUCAAGGUGCAGACUGUGGGCCUGAGGGGGUGUGUAGUUGUGUAGAGUUGUGUAGACAGGGUGUGCAGCUCUAUAGGGUGUGCGUUCCCGGAGCAGGGUGCAGCACUGCCCUGAGCUAUGUUCUUGUUGUUGUGCUGUUCUCUUGUUGUGUUGUUGUGUUGUGUUGUUGUGUUGUUGUCGGUAAAGCUCUGAGACAUCUGAGGGUCAGCUGCGACAGACUGCAGCUCUGACUGUAAACCGUGGAGCCACACACACACACACACGCACACAUACACUCGCACAUACACAUGCACACAUACAAACACACAUACCGUGCAAAUAUACAUGCACAUAAACAUGCACGUAAAUACACAAACACAUAAAUAUGCAUACACACAUGCACUAACACAUGCAUACACACACUUGCAUGCUCGCCCACAUGCAUGCACAUUCAUACACACACUAAACAUACCUAAACAUGCAUGCCUGUUUACAAGCACACGGCAAUCAUUGAAUCACUCUCUCAUAAACACACACACACACACAGACACACACAGCCACACACACACACACACAGAGACACACACAGCCACACACACACAGAGACACACACAGCCAUACACACACACACACACACACACACACACACACACACACACACACACACACACAGACACACACACACACACACACACACACAGCCAUACACACACAUACACAACCUG
This is a long non-coding RNA of Gadus macrocephalus (Pacific cod), 2662 nucleotides long. RefSeq lists it as uncharacterized. The transcript is spliced from 2 exons. The record is from RefSeq and is a predicted model, not a curated record. Lineage: Eukaryota; Metazoa; Chordata; Actinopteri; Gadiformes; Gadidae.